RNAcentral lists this ribosomal RNA (472 nucleotides) under uncultured bacterium. RNAcentral describes it as "bacterial SSU rRNA". It matches the Rfam family "Bacterial small subunit ribosomal RNA", at positions 355 to 825 of the family's 1533-position model. The record is from RNAcentral.
UGGGGAAUCUUGCGCAAUGGGCGACAGCCUGACGCAGCAACGCCGCGUGGGGGAAGAAGGCCUUCGGGUUGUAAACCUCUUUCAGGAUGGACGAAGCUUCACCGGUGAAUAGCCGUGUGGAGUGACGGUACUUCCACAAGCAGCCCCGGCUAACUACGUGCCAGCAGCCGCGGUAAUACGUAGGGGGCAAGCGUUGUCCGGAAUCAUUGGGCGUAAAGCGCGCGUAGGCGGCCAGAUAAGUCCGGUGUGAAAGUCAAAGGCUCAACCUUUGAAUGCCGCUGGAAACUGUCUGGCUAGAGUCCGGAAGGGGCGAGUGGAACUCCUGGUGUAGCGGUGAAAUGCGCAGAUAUCAGGAAGAACACCAAUGGCGAAGGCAGCUCGCUAGGACGGUACUGACGCUAAGGCGCGAAAGCGUGGGGAGCAAACAGGAUUAGAUACCCCCGUAGUCCCUGAGCGGGCUGGCAAGGCGCAU